Molecule: unclassified non-coding RNA, 365 nt
Filed under: fungal sp.
Lineage: Eukaryota; Fungi
Description: partial internal transcribed spacer region
Rfam family: Eukaryotic small subunit ribosomal RNA (bases 1-46)
Source: RNAcentral
AAGUCGUAACAAGGUUUCCGUAGGUGAACCUGCGGAAGGAUCAUUAACACGUAUCCAACGUUAAAACAACCCCCGUGAACUUUCAGCUUGCUCCUGUAGCCCGUGAAAACAGCAAUCCCUGGUAAAUCAUUGUUGACCAGCUUUUGAGUGCAUCUAGUGACCUGGCAUCCCCAAGUAAUCAGUGUCUGAAAAGUGUCAUUGAUUAUGUAAGGAUGGCGCAGUCACGAUCGCUGUAGGCCCACACGGCCGGCGACCGGGUCACCGGGCUCUGCCCCUUUACGACAACACAGUACGAAUUGGCCGCGCGUGAAAUUCGCACGGCACCAAAAACCGAACAACUGUUAACAAUGGAUAUCUUGGUUCUC